This 412-nucleotide ribosomal RNA is filed under the name uncultured microorganism. RNAcentral's name for it is "bacterial SSU rRNA". It matches the Rfam family "Archaeal small subunit ribosomal RNA", at positions 459 to 872 of the family's 1478-position model. The record is from RNAcentral.
CAGCCGCCGCGGUAAUACCAACCCCGCGAGUGGUCGGGACGUUUAUUGGGCCUAAAGCGUCCGUAGCCGGCCCGGUAAGUCCCUCCUUAAAGCCCACGGCUCAACCGUGGGAGCGGAGGGAUACUGCCGGGCUAGGGGGCGGGAGAGGCCGGGGGUACUCCUGGGGUAGGGGCGAAAUCCUAUAAUCCCAGGAGGACCACCAGUGGCGAAGGCGCCCGGCUAGCACGCGCCCGACGGUGAGGGACGAAAGCUGGGGGAGCAAAGGGGACUAGAUACCCCCGUAGUCCCAGCUGUAAACGAUGCAGGCUAGGUGUUAGGCGGGCUUCGUGCCCGCCUAGUGCCGUAGGGAAGCCGUUAAGCCUGCCGCCUGGGGAGUACGGCCGCAAGGCUGAAACUUAAAGGAAUUGGCGGG